Molecule: long non-coding RNA, 10114 nt
Filed under: Sorghum bicolor (sorghum)
Lineage: Eukaryota; Viridiplantae; Streptophyta; Magnoliopsida; Poales; Poaceae
Description: long non-coding RNA (SBIC_LNC010822)
Source: RNAcentral
GCUUUAGCUCUUCUUAUUAAGGUUGCUUGCUUUCUAGAUAGAGGGGUGAAGUUGUAGCUAGAACGCUAAUUCUCUUCCGUAUUUAAAUUGUUUUUCCGCUUGCUCUUAAUUUUUUAGAAAUGACUAUUCACCCCCUCUCUAGUCGGCCAUCUCGAUCCUUCAAGUGGUAUCAAAGCCACUGUCUCUCUUUUGUGGUCUUCACCGACCCGAGAGGAUGGCGACUUAUGUGUUAGAUGUUGAGUGUCCACACAUUUUUGAUGGCACGCACUUUACACGUUGGAAAGAUUGGAUGAUGAACAAUUUUAAAUUCAUUAGCCCUCAAUUGUGGUGGAUCGUGGAUGUGGGCUUUUCUUUUGCAUUGGACAAAAAGAAUUCAACCCAAGUGCAAAGGAAGUGUCUACAUCUCGAUUGCUAAGCUACUAACAUUUUCUAUCAAUCUAUGGAUGAUAGCAUAUUUGGUGAAAUCAUGGACUUGACAAGUGCUCAUGAAAUUUGGUUUCAUCUAAAUAAGAAGUAUGGGAUGACCUCCAAUAAUAUUGAUGGAGAAUAUGAAAAGAUGGAAGAUCAUGAGAAGAUAGUGAAUGAUGAUGUUGAGCUCAUUCAUGACAUGAGGGUUGUGAAGGAUUGCUCCAUCUCAAGCUCAAUUGAUGCAAUUGAAAGAUCAACCACAAGCUCACUUCAAAACAAUGAUGAUUACUCAUGUUUCGUGGCAAAUGAUGAUUCUACAAGCCCAUCUACAUCACCUCAUUGUCAUAUGUCUAAUGAUGACACAAAGGUAAAACUUGAUAGUGAUGUAGUUGCCCAUGCUUACACAUAUGAUGAGCUUGUAGAUGUUGUUAAAGGAAUGUCUCUUUAUGUUGAAGAAAUAGAAACCAAAAUGACAAACUUGGAACAUGAAAAUCACAAUUUAAGGAAAUCAUAUGAUCGUUCUGAACAUUUGCUUGGUAAAUUUGUUCAUAAGCUUGAGACCUUAAGCUUGACUCAUGAGAUUCUUUGCCUUAAACAUAAGAAGCUUAAAAUUGACCAUAAAUCUCUCAUUGAAAGCAUUUCCAAAGAAGAAACUAAAAUUGAUGAGAGCUCAUCAUAUGAGUUGGAUGGUCAAUUACAGUGUGUUGCUAACUCUUGUGAUGAAGGCUAUAAAAAUGCAUCCACCUCUUGUGAUGAUUUAUUAGAAAUGCCUUGUUCUUCAAAUUUGGAUGUAUGUUUUUCAUCUAUAGAUUGUGAGACUAUCAAUGUAGAAGAAAACAAUGAGUCAAAUGAUGAAGUGAAGAACAUGAGUAACAAAGUGGAUAGGCAUGUAAUAGCAAAAGUGACACACAAGCAAAUGAUGGAAAGUCACAAGAGGUAUGUCAACAUGAAUGGUAUUGUGUACAACAACACAAAUAUGAAAGGCAAAAGAUGGUGCAAGAAAACUUAUGAGAGAGAAAUGAGAAGACUUGAAGAAGAAAAGCUUUCUCAUUAUAUGUGUUUCAAGUGCCACAAGAUGGGACACCUAGCCUCAAGUUGUCUAAGCAAGAAAGAAAAGAUGCCACAAGACUCAACUGAAGAUGAGUCAACAUUCUCCCAUGAAGAAGCAAAUGUCAAUCACAAGGUUGAUAACAAGACGGGAAGGAAGAAAACUAGAAGAGGAGGAAGAAGAAGAAAUUGGUACAAUAAUUUCUCCUCCGAUGAGUACUAUCAAGAUCACUACAAGAGACACUUUGUCAAAAGUUGUCUUAAAGGUAGCAUUCGUAAGCCAAGCUCAAUUCAUGAUAAUAACUUGCUUAGGAAGGAUGGAAAUGGUACCGGAAAGGUAACAAUUGCUAAGGUCAUUUGGGUGCCCAAGCAUGAAUUGACUAACAUGAGAGGACCCAACGGUGGUUGGGUACCAUCAAAAGUUGAAUGAUUAGUAGGCACCAUGAUGGCAUUGGAAACUUGGCCUUAUUUGACUCACUAUUCUUAAUUGACAAGAAGCCAAGUUGGAGUUACUAUAUGUCAUAUCUUGAUCCAAUGCUAUCACUAGUGAUGAUAUGAGCUAGCCAUUCUAGUGAUUGGUCACAUCUUGGCACCACAAGUUCAACUUCAACAAGAUAACCGCUUAAAAGCGUGUGAAGAAGCUUGAAGAAGGAUCAAACCGAAUUUGGGGUAUUUUGGAUGAAAUCUCUAAUUGGAAGCUCAUGAAUGUGCUCUAGUUCAAGCAAAUGAUGAAGAACUCAUAUAUAUUAUUGCUUGAUGAAUUGGCUAAAAUUGAAAGCAUCUAGGCCAAAAGGAAUUGGUGAUCCAGGAAUUCUAUCAUGAAUAUAUCACUUUUAUUGUUCCAUAAUUGGAAUUCACUAUAUCUUGGACUAUCAACUUCCUUCAAACGGUGGUAUGGAAAAUCAAUAAUGCGCAACAUUACAUCAUCUCACUAGCAUGCCUUUAAUCUCACAUUGCUUACACUAGGUUUAUCUUGCAAUUUUUAUGUGUUGUCUUCUUAUGUCAAUAUAUUGCAUAUUUGUGAUUGUCCAUGAGCAAUGUCAUUGGAGCAUACAAAGAAAAAUGUGAGAUCAAGGAAUUUAAUGGAAUUCAUGUCAAAAUAUGUCUUGGGGACUUGUUUGAUCUGUUUGAGAAGAGUCAAAUGAGCUUUGGAAGUCAUUGGAAUCAAAUACUCAAAGAAACAGCAAGUUGUUUGUGCAGUUCAGGCAGUCGCGGACUGUCCGCCCUUUGGACCGCAGACUGUCCGCAAGUGAUUUUAAGUCAGUGCACAGAAUCUGUACAGAACAGUCGGGGCUCAGAAAUUUGAACUGCGGUCUAUCCGCCACAUGGACCGAGGACUGUCCGCGCAUCGGGUUUUGACCCAGAACCGACCCAACGGGAUAAGACCAAGUCCUCAUACCUCUUCGAGAAAAUCAGAACUCUCUCUCUCUCAACCGUGUGAGCACAAGGAAGAAGAAGGAAGGGGAACAAGGGAUUGGAGGCUUCCCCGGACACUCCGAGGAGUUCCCCGGACACUCCACGAUCUCCUCCAUCAUGUCCUCCCGGUAUCUCAAUGCUCUCUUCUCAGAUUUGAAUGAAUUUCGAGUUUGAAUGAUGUUAGGGUUGAUUCCCGAUCUCCUUUUUGAGCCAUGGAUUUGAGAAACUUUUUGGGGAAAGAUGUUACUAGUGAUGAGUAGAUGUUAUGUCUGAAGUUUGGUUGAAAAUCAUUGGUUGAAUCAUGAGAUAUAUGGAUGGAUUGAUAGCACUGCACUGUUGCUGUACGUGCGUGAACAGUAACCCCGGACUGUCCGCGCCUUCAGUAGCGGACUGUCCGCAAUGGCAAUUUUUGCACAGCAACAGCAGCUAUGGUUACAUGAUAUUUGCAAAAUUCAAAUGCUUGUCUAUCCUAGUAUUAUCAGCAAUCAGUUCAUCAGCUAGUCACUGAUUCAAAUUACAUAUGCUUAGUCAUGGAUUUCUUGAUUAAAUCAAAAUCGAUUGUGAUUGUUAUUCUCAUAUUAUUUGCAACCAAGAGUGAUGGCAUAUUCAAAUUAUGAUUGUGACUUAUCAAUGGUAGUUAUUCUUCAACAUUCAUGCAUGUCACUUACACAUUGCUAUAUCCUUUAUAAAUUAACAGUGGCAGUGGCUCAUCAAAGAAAACAACUUCCAAGAAGAAGGGAAGCACUUCAAAGAAAAGAAGAGCUAAUGAUGAUGAUGAUCUUGAUUGGAGCCCAAACCCAAGGGAAGAUAUUGAUGAAGAAGAUGAGGGUGAUAAUGAAGAGAUAGAUGUCUCCAACUACAAAGGAAAGUUCAAAAAAUGGGACAUGGACAGCUAUGCAAGAUAGAGAAGCCCAGAUCAAUAUGACCAAGAAAAUGAUGCUACCAUACCCUUCUUUUACACCAAGGUACAACAAGAUGCUUUCUUUGGGUACAUCAUUACUGCUACAGUUCACAAGCAUCAAUACAUCAAUAUGCGAUAUAUGUUGGAGAAAGAUAGAUUGACUGGGUUGCUAAACAAGUUUCAAGCCAUGGGAAUAUAUUACUUUCUUGAGCACCAAUGCAAUUGGAAUGAUUUGAUUGUCAGAUAGUUCCAUGCUACCAUGGAGAUUAGGACUGACAAAGAUGAGAUUGAGUGGAUGACUGGCAAGAGAAGAUACAUUGCAACUUUUGAUGAGUUUGCUGAAGCUAAUGAGUUGGACAAUGAAUUUUUUGCUAACUCCAUUAAUCUUGAUGAAGAAGAAAUUCUGCCUGAGGAGCAAAGGAGACAGUUCUAUGAGCCUGGAGAGCAAAACAUCUCAGUGGGAGAAUCUAGAGGGUUGAGACACCAUCCAGCUACCAUAAAUAAGAUUGCAAGGUUGACUUUCAUGCCUAAGGAAGGUGAUAGAGGCAAGAUAAGAUUCAAGUAUUGGAAUGUAAUUCAUCAUAUCAUGUAUUCUCAGAAGUUUGAUGUUGUCACCUUCAUGAUGAAUCAAUUGGCAGUCUUGAAGCAUGACAUGACCACAAAUCUUUAUUUUGCUCCAUAUAUCAUGUCACUCAUUCUUCAGAAGACAAGAUUCAAGGGGGAAUGCAGAGUGCAGCAUGAGCCAUUUAGACCAUUCUUGAAUGACAGAGAGUUUCAUAUUAGAUCACUUACUCCCUUCCCUCCUAUUGGGGGAGCUGAGGCAGGACAUGGCCAAGAUCAUGGUCAUGGUCAUGAUGAGCAUAUGGGCGGCGCAAAUAUUCCACAUGUUGAGCCUGAGGCACAUGGUUGGGUUCCUCCUGCAGGGUACUUUGAUCCAUACUUCCAAGGGAUACAAAAUUCAUGGAAUACAUCUUUUGCUCAGUUUGGUCAGAAUAUGUAGCAACAGAUGCAGCAAGGGUUCAACACCAUGGGGCAGCAGUCGCAAGGGCACAUGGAUACUAGCUUCCAGCAGUUUGGACAACACCUUCACUCCACUAUGUACCAGCCUAUCAUGUCCAGCCUUUAGAAUGUCCAACAGGGGCUGCAUAAUGAUAUUGAUGCUCCCAGUGCACAGUUGGGCACCUUGUCUACUCAGGAGCAGUAUCAGUAGAUUCAGAAUAGGCAGACUCAUCUUGAGCAGCAGGUUGAUGUGUUGAACACAAAUUUCAACAUCUUCAGUGAUCACUUCAGCAUGAUUUAUCCGAGGCCUGUUCCACCUCCUACACAGUGUCCAUAUCAGUCGUUCUAUCCACCUCAGUUUCCUCCUCCACAGUUCUACCCUCCUGACAAUGAUGGUGAUGCUUGAUGUCUCCUUUUGGGUAAUCUAAUGACAAAGGGGGAGAAGUUGUGAAGAAGAAGUCAAGAAUCAUUGAACUUAAAUGGCAGCUUGCAUGGAUUUGCUUAUGGACAUUUGCAUUGCAUGUUUAUUUAAAUUAUUGAACAAUGCAUUAGUGUGUAAACUAUCUUAGUGGUGAAAUAACUUUGAACUCCUAUGUGUGCGGCUUGUUAGAACUUAAACUCUUAUGAUAUCAUGUCCUAUGUGUGCUUGAUCAUCCAUUUUUAUCAUUAUGAUAGCACUAAUAUUCUUGUGAAAAAGUUCUAGCAAUGAUUGUGGUAUUUCGAGGAUAUUAUUCAUGAUUAUGGUCUUCAAAGGUGAUAUCUUAUAUUUUGUGUUCCUCAAAUACCACUAUAUAGGGAAACUCCGCCAAAAAUUUCUAAAUUUAUGCAUAUGUGUAAUCAUUGAAUUCAGAUCUCUAUGCACAUAUGUAGGGGGAGCUUUCUCUAUAUGGUUAAACUUUAAUUAUUCUUAUCUUCUAUUUGAGGUUGUCAUGAAUUACCUAAAAGGGGGAUAUUGAAAGAUCUAGGCCUGUAUUUGGGUUUUGGUAAUUAGUGACAACUCUUGUGGACUAACCUUUCAACUCAAGUGUGUGAAGGAAAAGUUGGUUUAGUUCACAAGGAAAGAUGGACAUCAACAUCAUUUGAUUGAUAGCAUGUUGGAAUGCUCAAAUCGACAUGGCAAACAAGUGAAGACCAAAGCAAGACUUGGCUUCGAUGGACCAGUUGCUACGCAAUGGUGAAGGGCAAGCUAAUGGGCUUGGUGCCGAUGGACUUAGGUGAAGGUGAAGGGCAAGCUAGUGAGCUUGGCUCCAAAGGACCGAAGCAACGGUGAAGAGCAAGUAAGACUAAGGUUGAUGGACUUGGAUGCUUUGUGAUGGUUUGAGUGAUCCACAUCAUAUUUGAGGACGAAGCCAAAGACAAAUUAAUCAUAUCAAGUGGCUUUGUCAACAUGUCGGCUUGUGCAAGGCAAAGGUAUGAAACAUAGGUUGUUUCAUUUCACCGGCCAUAAGGUGUUUUAGAGAAGAUUAAAAUGGCCAGAUUUAGGAUAGAUAGCCAUACUAUUAAGAGGGGCAAAUAUGCUUUGCAUUGCGGUUAUCUAGUGGCACUUGUGAGUUCUAACAUUGAGAUACGAUUAGUGUUGAAGUGGCGGUUUUACAAAACCUUUAUGAAAAAUGAUUUGCCUAAAAGCUAACCGGUGGCAAGUUGAACGGUUUUCUCUUUUGAGAAAUCGUUUAUUGGUGUUGGCUUUCCGUGAUAAAAGGUUUUUGAGAAGUGUUUUUAUCUAACCGUUUUAUGCUUUGGAACACUCCAUUGGUAUGGGGUGCUUGCUCAAAGUAUUGGAGAAGAUGCGCUUGUGGAAGUGGUUUCUGGGCAAAGGCGGUCUGUUUGCUGUUGUGGGCGCAGACUGUCCGCGGGCCAAUCCCAGGAAACCAGAAAGUUUCUGGUGGUUCUGCAGCUGACUUUCGCGUAGACGACGAACAGUCCACGCCUGUAAGGGCGGACAGUCCGCAGGUAUUUUUUGUGGAACCAAACAGAUAGUUUUUCAAUCUGCUCAGGGCUGACUGCGUGACCGCGGACAGUCCGCGCCUGUAAGGGCGGACAGUCCGCGGGUCAUUUUCCUUGGCGAGCAGAGUUGCUGGACUUCCUGUCCAGGGGUUUGUUUUUCAGUGGCGGACUGUCCGCGCCCUGUAGGGUGGACUGUCCGCGGUUCAGCAGUUUGAACCCAACAGCUAGUUGAAGUUAAUCGCGGACUGUCCGGGGUUUCUACAGCGGACUGUCCGCGAGUCACGAAUCAGAGCAUAACGGCUAGUUUUGGGGGGCUCCUCUAUAUAUAGUUGGAUGCCCGGUUGGUGAGGGAUCUUGUGGCCAUUUUUAUGGCAUACUCUUUGGGAGAGCUCCUCUCUAGCACCUCUUCUCACACCCUUUGCUUAGUGCAACAUUUGGAGAGUUGAGUGUGCUCACUAGUGCGGAUCUUUGCGUGAGAGAUUACUCGUGGCACUAGGUGGUCGUCGUGAAAGUGUGGUUGCUUAUUACUCUUGGAGUUUGCCGGCUCCUAGACGGCUUGGUGAUUGUCUUUGUGAAGCACACAAGAAGCUUUGUGCGGUGCUCCGAAGUUGGCUUUGUGAGGGGCUAUCGAGCUCAUCCCCGUCGGAGGAAGACGAAGAGCAUCUCUAGUAAAAUCGAGGCUUGUGUGGGUGUCUAGUUGAUUCGUCCGACUCAAGUUUAGAGCUCACGUGGAGCCUACCUAGUGAGGUAGUCCGAAGCUUGCAGGCUUGGAACUAACAAGAGGAGCGGCAAUCCUAGAACUCGCCUCAACGUGGACUAAGUGACCGGCAAGUCACCGAACCACGGAAAAACAUCGUGUGGCAUCCUCUUCAUUGUGGUUUGCCUAUCUCAACACAAGCUUAUCUUAUUGAUAUGUAUACUUUGUGCUUGUGUUGAUUAUGCUUGAGCUCUUUGUCUACUUCAUGAUCACUAGUAUGCUUGGUUGAUACAUUGUGUUUUCAAUAAUUCAUAUUGUGAAAAGUAUCUUGAUCUUGCUUUAGCUCUUCUUAUUAAGGUUGCUUCCUUUCUAGAUAGAGGGGUGAAGUUGUAGCUAGAAUGCUAAUUCUCUUCCGUAUUUAAAUUGUUUUUGUGCUUGCUCUUAAUUUUUUAGAAACGACUAUUCACCCCCCUCUAGUCGGUCAUCUCGAUCCUUCAUCGAGUCUAUUUUAUAUAGUCAUAAAAUACCAAAAAUAUGUGAGCACAUGAAGGUUCAUAAUAGUAUCAUAAGAAAAUAUAAAAAUACCAAAAAUAUAUGGGCCCAUGAAGAUCCAUGUUUUUAAGUCUUGUGAGUCCAAUAGAAAUAAAAAGAUGAAUAAUAAUUUAAAAUCAAAAACAAAAUACUUAUCUAUAUAUUAAGGUGUGAUCAUAGAGUGUGUCUACAGUUAGUCUAGUUUAGAGUCAAAUAAAAAUUAAAGAACAUUAAAAUUUUGUCUUGGAGAUGAUGAAAAGUUGCUCUACAGUGAUUCCUUUCAAUUGCCUAGUUUUUAAACAUGAAUUCUCCUGAGUUUUAGACAUGACCACUUUAAUAUAAGAAUUUACUCUGAACCUAAAAUUUGUGGAGGCAUAUGUUUAAGCUGAGUCGAGGUAAUUGAUAUUAAGCUGCUAUUUAUCUUAUUCCUAGCAUUACUAAGUUUUGGAGAUUUAUUUUCAAAAACCCAAAAUCUUACAUAAUGAGCUCUUGUAUGAUAAAGUUUAAAUUCCUACCAAAGCCAUAUAUGAUACAUUUAGAGUUAGGAAAACCUUUGCACAUUCAUACUGCUUGAUUUACAUUGAGAUUAGUCAACCUUUGAAGUAUACCUUAUGAGAGUCUUGUCAUGCUUUUAAAAUUAAGAUCACUAACGCACUCCACCCACAUAUGCAUUACUCCUAUCUAGGAUGUAAGCGCAGUCAUUUCCAGUUUCAUCCAGAUCCACCUUAAAUAAAUAUUUUCUCCUACACUAGGAGUAAACACCCAAAAAUAUACCCUAUAGGACAGCACCCAUUUAAUUGCUCUAAGUUCUUAUCAUUAUCCCUCCGAUCAUUUAUAUUCAAAGGAUGCAUGUGGCUGUGCAAAAGUAUUGAAAAAAAGAAGAGAAGAAGAAAACUGGGAGUAAAAGAUGGACAAGUGUCCCAACAAUUAAAACAAUGGGUACAUAGAUGCCCGCCUCUCAGAAUAAAAAAAGAGAAAGGAAAAAUAAGAAAGAAAAAAAAGAAUAAAGAUAGCCCAUGGUUACCCGCGAGAAGUUCUAAGUUUUAAAGGAGGGAGUUAUUUUCAAUGAGCAAAAGUAGAAUUAGGAUUAGCUACUAAAUAUCAUAUAGGCACCUUGAACGCCCAAGUUUGGUUUUGGUAAUUAAUGAGAUCAAGUUGCUGUUGGGUAUUUUAAACGCAAACAGAAAAAUCCGCAAGCGCAUGGAUACCGAUAUAGCCUUUGUUGGGUAUUUUAAACGCAAACAGAAAAAUCCGCAAGCGCACGGAUACCGAUGUAGCUUUCACCCGGGAGUAUUCCAGAGUAUCGAUUUUCCACAGGGAACGUGAGUGUACUAAUUAAGAUCCAAGAUUGCCCAAGGAUAACUAUAUAAUUAUUUUUGGUGGGAAGAGAGGAAGUUUCGUGAGAGUUCUCUAGUUGAUCUAAGAAUCAAGAAUUACUUCAAGAUUAUCUAUAUCGGGACAUCAGAACACUAACCACAGAAAGAGAUGAGAAGGGGGCUAGGAAGCUCCGACUACGGUCCUGCAAACACCGAUCCGAACGUGGUGGAAUACGUCGACCGUUAGGGCUGUCACUACCCUAAGGCUACCACAACAAUCCGCAGGAUUGGGUGCAAUUCCAGGUAAUUGCAAGACUAAACACCACGUCUAAUCUAUUAAUUACUACUCUAAUGUUUCAAAGAUUAGAGCACUUGAUGCAAGCGGGAAUCCAAUAAAUAACUUGAAUGUAAAUAAAAGUAAUUAAAGAACUCAGGAAUUAUGAGUUGAAGAACCUAGAGAACGAUGAAGGAUGAACCAGUUGCUGCAAAAAUACAAUGUUGAGGAAGAUCCGAUAGAUCCGGCUCCUCCUCCGCUCUCCUCUUCUCUCUCCCUAUUUUCUAGAUUACAACUAGAACUAACUAGAACUAGAACUAGAGGAACUAGAACUAGAACUAGAACUAGAUGAACUAGAACUAGAUCUAGAUGAACUAGAGGUAGAACUAGAAGAACUAGAGGGAUCCUCUCUACUUGGAUGAAGAAUUGAAACCCUAGCUUUGUUUCUGUAGAAGAGGUAUGAUCUCCAGGGGCCAGGGGGUCUGGUUUUAUAGUCCCUUCAAGUGAAUCUGGGCCGUCGGAUCAAACCGACAUUAAUCGCACGGUUUUCCUUGAUCCUUUAGGUCGGUGGAGCGUUGUCC